UGGGCGUAAGGGCUCGCAGGCGGUUUCUUAAGUCUGAUGUGAAAGCCCCCGGCUCAACCGGGGAGGGUCAUUGGAAACUGGGGAACUUGAGUGCAGAAGAGGAGAGUGGAAUUCCACGUGUAGCGGUGAAAUGCGUAGAGAUGUGGAGGAACACCAGUGGCGAAGGCGACUCUCUGGUCUGUAACUGACGCUGAGGAGCGAAAGCGUGGGGAGCGAACAGGAUUAGAUACCCUGGUAGUCCACGCCGUAAACGAUGAGUGCUAAGUGUUAGGGGGUUUCCGCCCCUUAGUGCUGCAGCUAACGCAUUAAGCACUCCGCCUGGGGAGUACGGUCGCAAGACUGAAACUCAAAGGAAUUGACGGGGGCCCGCACAAGCGGUGGAGCAUGUGGUUUAAUUCGAAGCAACGCGAAGAACCUUACCAGGUCUUGACAUCCUCUGACAAUCCUAGAGAUAGGACGUCCCCUUCGGGGGCAGAGUGACAGGUGGUGCAUGGUUGUC
RNAcentral lists this ribosomal RNA (499 nucleotides) under Bacillus subtilis. RNAcentral's name for it is "bacterial SSU rRNA". It matches the Rfam family "Bacterial small subunit ribosomal RNA", at positions 555 to 1053 of the family's 1533-position model. Lineage: Bacteria; Bacillati; Bacillota; Bacilli; Caryophanales; Bacillaceae. The record is from RNAcentral.